This 1243-nucleotide ribosomal RNA is filed under the name metagenome. Its description in RNAcentral is "bacterial LSU rRNA". It matches the Rfam family "Bacterial large subunit ribosomal RNA", at positions 1564 to 2817 of the family's 2925-position model. The record is from RNAcentral.
UGAAUACGAGAUGCUACGGCGUCGAAGCAGUCUAUGUCAUACUUCCAAGAAAAGCUCGCACUGUCAUAAACAAAUAAUGCCUGUACCAUAACCGACACAGGUGGGUAGGUAGAGUAUACUAAGGGGCGCGAGAUAACUCUCUCUAAGGAGCUCGGCAAAAUGACUCCGUAACUUCGGGAGAAGGAGUGCCUUAUUUAUAAGGUUGCAAUAACAAGAUCCAAGCAACUGUUUAUCAAAAACACAGGUCUCCGCUAAGUCGUAAGACGAUGUAUGGGGGCUGACGCCUGCCCAGUGCCAGAAGGUUAAAGAAGUUGGUUAGCAUUCGCGAAGCUGAUAACUGAAGCCCUGGUGAACGGCGGCCGUAACGAUAACGGUCCUAAGGUAGCGAAAUUCCUUGUCGGGUAAGUUCCGACCCGCACGAAAGGCGUAAUGAUUUGGAUACUGUCUCGGAGAGGGGCUCGGUGAAAUAGACUUGUCUGUGAAGAUGCGGACUACCUGCACCAGGACAGAAAGACCCUAUGAAGCUUUACUGUAACUUGAGAUUGAAAUUGGACUUUACUUGCGCAGUAUAGGUGGGAGGCGUUGAUAAUAUUCUUGCGGGAUUAUUUGAGCCAUCAGUGAGAUACCACUCUUGUAAUGUUAGAUUUCUAACUUUGUAUCAUUAUCUGGUCAAAGGACAGUUUCAGGCGGGCAGUUUGACUGGGGCGGUCGCCUCCUAAACGGUAACGGAGGCGCACAAAGGUUUCCUCUGAACGGGUAGAAAUCGUAUCUAGAGUGUAAAGGCAUAAGGAAGCUUGACUGUGAGACCUACAAGUCGAGCAGGGACGAAAGUCGGUCUUAGUGAUCUGACGGUGCUGAGUGGAAAGGCCGUCACUCAACGGAUAAAAGUUACUCUAGGAUAACAGGCUGAUCUCCCCCAAGAGUUCACAUCGACGGGGAGGUUUGGCACCUCGAUGUCGGCUCAUCGCAUCCUGGGGCGGUAGUACGUCCCAAGGGUUGGGCUGUUCGCCCAUGAAAGCGGUACGCGGGCUGGGUUCAGAACGUCGUGAGACAGUUCGGUCCAUAUCCGGUGUAGGCGUUAGAAUAUUGAGAGGAGCCUUCUUUAGUACGAGAGGACCGAGAAGGACAUACCUCUGGUGUACCAGUUAUCGUGCCAACGGUAAACGCUGGGUAGCUAUGUAUGGAGUGGAUAACCGCUGAAAGCAUCUAAGUGGGAAGUCCACCUCAAGAUAAGUAUUCUCAC